Molecule: ribosomal RNA, 596 nt
Filed under: Fizesereneia sp. SETVDM-2014
Lineage: Eukaryota; Metazoa; Arthropoda; Malacostraca; Decapoda; Cryptochiridae
Description: partial 16S ribosomal RNA
Rfam family: Bacterial large subunit ribosomal RNA
Source: RNAcentral
CAUGUCUAUUUGUAGUUAUAAAUAGUCCAAUCUGCCCACUGAUAAUUUUAUUAAAGGGCCGCAGUAUUCUAACUGUGCAAAGGUAGCAUAAUCGUUAGUUCUUUAAUUGAGAUCUUGUAUGAAUGAUUAGACAAAAGGAUUACUGUCUUUAUGAUAAAAAUUAAAUUUAACUUUUAAGUGAAAAGGCUUAAAUUAUUUAGAGUGACGAUAAGACCCUAUAAAGCUUAAUAUUUUAUAAAAAUGUAAAUAAUAUAUAACUAAUAAAAUUUUAAAUAUUAUAAGUAUUUUAUUGGGGUGAUAGAAGUAAAAUUAAUAAUAACUGCUUUGUGUUUAGACAAUUAUAAUUGGUUUUUAUAAUAAAUGAUCCUAUAAUAUAGAAUAUAAGAUUAAGUUACUUUAGGGAUAACAGCGUUAUUUUUUUUGAGAGUUCUUAUCGAAAAAAGAGAUUGCGACCUCGAUGUUGAAUUAAAAUAUCUAUACAAUUGUAGGAGUUGUAUUAGAAGGUCUGUUCGACCUUUAAAUUUUUACGUGAUUUGAGUUCAGACCGGUUUAAACCAGGUCGGUUUCUAUCUUCUGAGUUUAUAUUAAUUGCUUUA